GACGAGCUCAGUGAUUCGGUACGCAGCACCAAUCUGGGCAAAUACGAAGCCAUAUACAGACUUGACGCCUUGAGAGUAGCCAUUGCCUAUCGUACUGUCUCAGAUGACGCAAUUUAUGUAAUAGUGAGCAUGGUGCCUACCGAACUUCUCACGCUUGAGAUGCAUAGGUUACAUAACAACAUUGGGCAGAGACCGUCGAGCGCGGAUAAGAAAGAGGAAAGUCUGCGAACAAUUGAAGAAUGGCAGAUACGGUGGAAGCAAUCCGAGAAAUAUAGGUGGACCUUUGAAUUGAUUCCAAGUAUUGCUAGGUGGAAUGAGCAAAAACACGGAGAAAUCGAUUUUUGUUAGUUGCUUUUAGUUGCGAUUAGUUGCUUCAAAACAGACCACAGGCUGCGGCCCAAGUUUAAACCCGCAUAAAACAGAACUAAUGCUUUUCACCACCAGAUACAAGAUACCAAUUUUUAUCCUAGCAACCAUUAAUGGACAAACUCUCUCACUUACGUCCAGUGCAAAGUACCUAAGGGUAAUUCUGGACUCCAAACUUAGCUGGAAAUUAAAUGUCAAGGAACCAGAAAUUACUUUAUAUCAAUCAAGGCAAUCAUUUUAUGUUCCAAAAAGGUUCUUAAGGCACCGCCUCACGUUAUUCCGCUAAAUCUUUAUAUCAAGAAUAUGGCAAUCAUGAGUUAAUUUUGGUUAAACGCAGUGGACCGCUGGAAGAAAAAACCGUAUGGUCAUGCCGGUAUAUUAUACCUCCAAGAGAACUGACUAACAUGCAUUAAGAAUAGUGCCACUUUCUUGCCAUCUCAGGAGGAAUAGAGUAAGGGAUUCGUACUACAAAAACUUCGACUCUACAGUCCAUACCGAUGACUCUAAAAUGGAUUGUGGUGUUGGAACAGUGUCUUCCAGGCAGAAGAACAGGCAAUUGGGGAAGCAUGUACGUCACUUAUCGCAGAUUUCUCUUUUAAGGGCAAUAUCGCUAUUCUUUCGGAUAGCCAAUCUGCAAUCCCGGCACUGGAUUCGGCUACAACAACUUCUAAGCUGGUGGAACAAAGUAGGAAUAGCUUUGGCAACUUGAGUGAAAAUCACAAUGUUACCUUAAUCUUGGUCCCACGGUAUCGGAACAUUGCAGGUUAUGAAAAAGCAGAUGAACUGGCAAGAGGGGGAUCUGCAAUGAAAACCGAUCUGGCAGAAUGGGUAUUUACACCACUGAGUGCAAUCAAGAAUCCUUUUUUCCUCAAAGUACCUCCGAAUCGCGGAUUGUGGAUGGAAAGAUCAGACGGUAUGCAAAGUUAGCAGAACGUUAUGGCAAACGUAUACAACCUCAAACAAUCGUCAACAUUGACAAACAUGAAAUGACGGGAUUCACGGUAGUCAUAAUGGGCUUUGGGGUAGUCUGUUGGGCAACAAGUAGUCAAAAUGGUUAUCCCUCACAACACAACUGCCACAGUGGUAAACUAUUUUCCAUUUCCUCAGUGCAUGCUCUGCCUUAUGAAAAGAGAGAAUGUGAAG
Molecule: long non-coding RNA, 1509 nt
Organism: Anastrepha ludens (Mexican fruit fly)
Lineage: Eukaryota; Metazoa; Arthropoda; Insecta; Diptera; Tephritidae
Exons: 2
Source: RefSeq, a predicted model, not a curated record